GAAUUUUAUAUUUUAUGUGUUUUUUAGUUCGUCCUUUAUUGGAUAUGUUAUGAAUAUAUAUAUUAGAUUAUUAAGUUAUAUUGGAUAAUAUAUAGUUUUGAAAACUAUAAAAGAGUGUUCGAUUCACUUG
RNAcentral lists this transfer RNA (130 nucleotides) under Amphioctopus fangsiao. Its description in RNAcentral is "tRNA-Ser". Lineage: Eukaryota; Metazoa; Mollusca; Cephalopoda; Octopoda; Octopodidae. The record is from RNAcentral.